GAGUUUGAUCCUGGCUCAGAUUGAACGCUGGCGGCAUGCCUUACACAUGCAAGUCGAACGGCAGCACGGGAGCAAUCCUGGUGGCGAGUGGCGAACGGGUGAGUAAUAUAUCGGAACGUGCCCAGUCGUGGGGGAUAACGCAGCGAAAGCUGUGCUAAUACCGCAUACGAUCUCUGGAUGAAAGCGGGGGACUCGCAAGGGCCUCGCGCGAUUGGAGCGGCCGAUAUCAGAUUAGCUAGUUGGUGGGGUAAAAGCCCACCAAGGCGACGAUCUGUAGCUGGUCUGAGAGGACGACCAGCCACACUGGAACUGAGACACGGUCCAGACUCCUACGGGAGGCAGCAGUGGGGAAUUUUGGACAAUGGGCGCAAGCCUGAUCCAGCAAUGCCGCGUGCAGGAUGAAGGCCUUCGGGUUGUAAACUGCUUUUGUACGGAACGAAACGGUCUGCCCUAAUACGGUGGGCUAAUGACGGUACCGUAAGAAUAAGCACCGGCUAACUACGUGCCAGCAGCCGCGGUAAUACGUAGGGUGCGAGCGUUAAUCGGAAUUACUGGGCGUAAAGCGUGCGCAGGCGGUUAUAUAAGACAGAUGUGAAAUCCCCGGGCUCAACCUGGGACCUGCAUUUGUGACUGUAUAGCUAGAGUACGGUAGAGGGGGAUGGAAUUCCGCGUGUAGCAGUGAAAUGCGUAGAUAUGCGGAGGAACACCGAUGGCGAAGGCAAUCCCCUGGACCUGUACUGACGCUCAUGCACGAAAGCGUGGGGAGCAAACAGGAUUAGAUACCCUGGUAGUCCACGCCGUAAACGAUGAGUGCUAGGUGUCGGGGGUAUCGACCCCCUCGGUGCCACAGCUAACGCAAUAAGCACUCCGCCUGGGGAGUACGGUCGCAAGACUGAAACUCAAAGGAAUUGACGGGGGCCCGCACAAGCGGUGGAGUAUGUGGUUUAAUUCGAAGCAACGCGAAGAACCUUACCAAGGCUUGACAUCCCGCGCAAGGCCCUGGAAUGGUCUUGCAAGUUUACUUGCACACGGAGACAGGUGGUGCAUGGUUGUCGUCAGCUCGUGUCGUGAGAUGUUGGGUUAAGUCCCGCAACGAGCGCAACCCUUGCCUUUAGUUGCCAGCACAUAAUGGUGGGCACUCUAGAGGGACUGCCGGUGACAAACCGGAGGAAGGUGGGGAUGACGUCAAAUCAUCAUGCCCCUUAUGAUCUGGGCUACACACGUGCUACAAUGGCCGGUACAAAGGGCAGCAAAGCCGCGAGGUGGAGCCAAUCCCAUAAAGCCGGUCUCAGUUCAGAUUGAAGUCUGCAACUCGACUUCAUGAAGGCGGAAUCGCUAGUAAUCGCGGAUCAGCAUGCCGCGGUGAAUACGUUCUCGGGCCUUGUACACAC
RNAcentral lists this ribosomal RNA (1391 nucleotides) under uncultured bacterium. RNAcentral describes it as "bacterial SSU rRNA". It matches the Rfam family "Bacterial small subunit ribosomal RNA". The record is from RNAcentral.